AGAUGACCCAUCCACCACAGCCCGCCUCGCCUCUCAUGGGCUUGUCCCCGACCUCGCCGUCCCAGCUCAAUCUCGCCGCAAAGCUCUCCCUCCACCGAGCCGGGUGUCGAACCUGUUCGCACCACCAGGGCUGCUUAGAUCCGUUUCCCCGCAUCCCGUGCUUCGAGUCCACCUAACGGGUGUGCUCACCGUCUACCUUGCUGCCCAGACUCGACCCACUCCAAUGCCACCGAUUGUUGAUGCGGCCGCCGGUCCACCUCGCCGAUGCGCCAUUCUGUUGACUGGUGUCCGUGCUCGCCAGGACCGCCGCGGUGUUUGUGAUUCACCAGGCUGCCCGAAGAGUGUUUGUCAGCCCAAGAACUAGCAGCGCCAAAGUUUAUCCAGGGUAAUGAAGCAAGGCACGAGGUCUUGGCGACCUUGCUUGGCCACCAGGCUCCAUCUCCCGCGACAUGCUACCUGCUGACGACCACCUAUGGUUCCUUUCUGUUGUGCUAACAACCACUCCUUUGAUCACAAUGACAUGUUACAUCUCUGAUCUCCCCAGAGUGCUCUCACCGGAAUGCUCCCUUGCCGACGUGGUCAAUGGCGGCACUCGGGGCGCAGCAUGGUGACUAUGAUCCAGCGGCUUCGUCUCUGUGGUCUCAAAGUGACCGGCUCCUUGCCUUAGUGUGAAUGUUGUGAUUCUUGUAACAUAUGCAAUGUUUCAGGGAUAUGUAUAUUAAGUAUUCUAGUGACCCUGUAUAUGUUCUUCCAUUGUUUUCAGUACCAUACAUGUGCUUUGGUAUCAUAUGUGUCAUGCUUCCAACUUAUGUACAAUAAGCUUCGAAA
Triticum aestivum (bread wheat) is the source of this 828-nucleotide long non-coding RNA. RefSeq lists it as uncharacterized. The record is from RefSeq and is a predicted model, not a curated record. Lineage: Eukaryota; Viridiplantae; Streptophyta; Magnoliopsida; Poales; Poaceae. The transcript is spliced from 2 exons.